RNAcentral lists this non-coding RNA (24 nucleotides) under Arabidopsis thaliana (thale cress). Lineage: Eukaryota; Viridiplantae; Streptophyta; Magnoliopsida; Brassicales; Brassicaceae. The record is from RNAcentral.
UAUCAUGCCUACAAAAUAUAGGGA